AGAAAGGAACGCGGCGGAAGAUGAGGAAGAAGGACGCCGCAGAGGGCGGCGGAGAUGGUCUGGUGACGUGGGAGAGGUUUCUCCCGAAGAUUCCACCAGAAAGAUUAAUCUCUGCUCUCCUCAGGAAAUGCAGUUACAGAGUUGCUGCUGUACCUGAUGGCUUGAAAGCUUGGGAGAUGCUCUCCUAACCCUUAUAUCAUGGAGCAUGAAAACGUUGAUCUGAUAAUUGACAGAGAGCUCAUGUUCAAGACCAGAGAUGCAAGGUGAGAGCGCAGACGUUGUGGAGGAUAUACCAAGAGUCUCAUCGAAAGAGGCCAUUGACUUCAUGGGAGAGCGUCUUUUAGAAGAAGCGGACAAAGCCACAGAGAAGAAAGCGUUGCUAAAUACGAUUGUGAGAACCAACAACCCUCCUCUCUUCAUCCUUCUAGUGCCCCUCGGCUUUCACACGGUACGUGUUCACAAGCCGUUGCAGACACAAUGUUCUGUCUCUCCCUUGGUUACCGAUCAAAGAAAGAACGUUGGGGCAAGUGGAGAUGAUAACAACACUAUGCUAAUCCACCAGUACAAUGUAUCUGAACUGCCUCCAAGAAACGAGGCCAGCUUUUAGAAUAGUUCUGACUCACCUGGUCCGCAUUUUAGUUGAAACCAGAUGAAUUCAAUGGAUAUAGAGGAGAGAAGAACAUAGUGGAACAGGCAAUCACUGCAGUACCAGCUACGUUGAUUAUAAUCAUCAACAGGAUACUCGUCCUCUGUUGGGAAACUUGAGCAAUCUCUGCAACGGGAAGCUGCUUUAAACAAAUUCAGGAUGAAGAGCAAGGAGAGGUGCUUUGAGAAAAAGGUCCGUUAUGAGAGCCGGAAGAAAUUAGCAGAGCAACUGCCUCGCAUCAAAGGACAAUUCGUUCGUCAAGUCCAGUCUACUGAGUUGAGUUGUUGAGUUGUUGAGUUUAGAGAUAAUGUAAAACAUAUGAUGGAUUGCAGUUUCUGAAUCUUGCAAGAGGGUUAUUAUACGA
RNA transcript from Raphanus sativus (radish), 1010 nucleotides. It is a transcript of the gene named two-component response regulator-like APRR5, with no coding region annotated. The record is from RefSeq and is a predicted model, not a curated record. Lineage: Eukaryota; Viridiplantae; Streptophyta; Magnoliopsida; Brassicales; Brassicaceae. The transcript has 5 exons.